Molecule: long non-coding RNA, 238 nt
Filed under: Struthio camelus australis
Lineage: Eukaryota; Metazoa; Chordata; Aves; Struthioniformes; Struthionidae
Description: lncRNA (ENSSCUG00000004323.1)
Source: RNAcentral
GAGAACCUCAGCCAUGACAAGGAAAGACAGAGAAGAAAGAAGACAACCCACUUUGGUGCUCAUCAAAUUACUCUCCAGCCUGUUCGCCUGGACCUCUGGACCGCAGCCACCAGUGCGGACUUUACUGCAGCAGCUCCAUGUGGCAAUUCAGCACAUAAACACUUCUGCUGAUGUAAGUGCUGGCAUGAAAUUCUCAGGCAGAGUGUCUAGCAGGGACAAGGAUAGCUGGGAAAGCUGA